This 838-nucleotide ribosomal RNA is filed under the name Escherichia coli. RNAcentral's name for it is "partial 23S ribosomal RNA". It matches the Rfam family "Bacterial large subunit ribosomal RNA", at positions 418 to 1255 of the family's 2925-position model. Lineage: Bacteria; Pseudomonadati; Pseudomonadota; Gammaproteobacteria; Enterobacterales; Enterobacteriaceae. The record is from RNAcentral.
CGGGACACGUGGUAUCCUGUCUGAAUAUGGGGGGACCAUCCUCCAAGGCUAAAUACUCCUGACUGACCGAUAGUGAACCAGUACCGUGAGGGAAAGGCGAAAAGAACCCCGGCGAGGGGAGUGAAAAAGAACCUGAAACCGUGUACGUACAAGCAGUGGGAGCACGCUUAGGCGUGUGACUGCGUACCUUUUGUAUAAUGGGUCAGCGACUUAUAUUCUGUAGCAAGGUUAACCGAAUAGGGGAGCCGAAGGGAAACCGAGUCUUAACUGGGCGUUAAGUUGCAGGGUAUAGACCCGAAACCCGGUGAUCUAGCCAUGGGCAGGUUGAAGGUUGGGUAACACUAACUGGAGGACCGAACCGACUAAUGUUGAAAAAUUAGCGGAUGACUUGUGGCUGGGGGUGAAAGGCCAAUCAAACCGGGAGAUAGCUGGUUCUCCCCGAAAGCUAUUUAGGUAGCGCCUCGUGAAUUCAUCUCCGGGGGUAGAGCACUGUUUCGGCAAGGGGGUCAUCCCGACUUACCAACCCGAUGCAAACUGCGAAUACCGGAGAAUGUUAUCACGGGAGACACACGGCGGGUGCUAACGUCCGUCGUGAAGAGGGAAACAACCCAGACCGCCAGCUAAGGUCCCAAAGUCAUGGUUAAGUGGGAAACGAUGUGGGAAGGCCCAGACAGCCAGGAUGUUGGCUUAGAAGCAGCCAUCAUUUAAAGAAAGCGUAAUAGCUCACUGGUCGAGUCGGCCUGCGCGGAAGAUGUAACGGGGCUAAACCAUGCACCGAAGCUGCGGCAGCGACGCUGAUGCGUUGUUGGGUAGGGGAGCGUUCUGUAAGCCUGUGAAG